GCGAAUACUUUGAAUGGCCUCCUAAUCAGGCUGUUAAUUGGAAGGUAGAGCCAGAGGGCUUCAGUCUUUGGGGCUCCCGUGUAGAGAGUGACUCCCUUAGAUCUCUUGCAAACUGAGCAGGUAUAGAGCAGGGAGAAUGAUUUGUAUAAGAAGUCUUUAGAAGAUAGUGCAGUACUCUGACUGAUUAAGGUCACUCAAAGGCUUUCUCAAUUAACGACAGGAUCUGCUUCAGUUGCAGGGUGGAUAAAGUGGUUCCAUCUGAGGCCCCAGGGAAGGAAAGGGCCAUGAGAUCCAUGGAAUGAUCUUAAGGAGAAGGUGGCCUACACAGGAGAAUCCCACAAAGUAGUCAGAGACCCCCCAAAGGGAAGACGUGUCAGGCUGAGGGAUUUCCUAUGACCUGGGAACCUGAGAGUCCAGUUGAUAAAACUUCAGGUAAGUGACAGCCAACCUAUCUCCCAA
RNAcentral lists this long non-coding RNA (459 nucleotides) under Callithrix jacchus (white-tufted-ear marmoset). RNAcentral describes it as "lncRNA (ENSCJAG00000072000.1)". Lineage: Eukaryota; Metazoa; Chordata; Mammalia; Primates; Cebidae. The record is from RNAcentral.